This 246-nucleotide ribosomal RNA is filed under the name uncultured Actinomycetes bacterium. Its description in RNAcentral is "uncultured actinobacterium partial 16S ribosomal RNA". It matches the Rfam family "Bacterial small subunit ribosomal RNA", at positions 30 to 276 of the family's 1533-position model. The record is from RNAcentral. Lineage: Bacteria; Bacillati; Actinomycetota; Actinomycetes.
AUUGAACGCUGGCGGCGUGCUUAACACAUGCAAGUCGAGCGGUAAGGCCCUUUCGGGGGUACACGAGCGGCGAACGGGUGAGUAACACGUGGGUGACCUGCCUUCAGCUCUGGGAUAAGCCUGGGAAACUGGGUCUAAUACCGGAUAUGACUCCAUGAUGCAUGUUGUGGGGUGGAAAGCUUUUGCGGCUGGAGAUGGGCCCGCGGCCUAUCAGCUUGUUGGUGGGGUGAUGGCCUACCAAGGCGA